Molecule: ribosomal RNA, 341 nt
Filed under: uncultured bacterium
Lineage: Bacteria
Description: bacterial SSU rRNA
Rfam family: Bacterial small subunit ribosomal RNA
Source: RNAcentral
AAUGACGUCUCUAAGAAGACAUCUAGGAAGGAGAUUAAAGUAUUUAUCGGUGAUGGAUGGGGAUGCGUCUGAUUAGCUUGUUGGCGGGGUAACGGCCCACCAAGGCGACGAUCAGUAGGGGUUCUGAGAGGAAGGUCCCCCACAUUGGAACUGAGACACGGUCCAAACUCCUACGGGAGGCAGCAGUGAGGAAUAUUGGUCAAUGGACGAGAGUCUGAACCAGCCAAGUAGCGUGCAGGAUGACGGCCCUAUGGGUUGUAAACUGCUUUUAUAAGGGAAUAAAGUGGGAGUCGUGACUCUUUUUGCAUGUACCUUAUGAAUAAGGACCGGCUAAUUCCGUG